AGCAGAAGUCUUUAUUGAUAAAAUCUGCGUAAGUUAUAAAUAUUCCAUGCCUGUGGAAGAUCAAUACCACCGAGGUAGGCAAUCUUGUAAGAGCAUUGGUGGAUGACUUUAGAUAUGAUAUAGGGACCUUCCCAAUUACUGCCUAGCUUGCUGGCCCUGGCUGCUACUCUUGAGACAUCGACUCGUUUCAUGACUAGAUCACCAACUAUGAAUGAUCGGUGCCUCACAUUUUUGUUAUAUAUUUGAACCAUCUUUGGUCUAUAUUCCACCAUUUCAUCUGGAUGCUCGCUCCUGCAGGACUUCGUCUUGGUCAAGAUUGGGCCGAAGACCAUUUUCAUUUGCAGCGACCUCAAGAUUCUUAGUUUGAGCACUGACAUAAUUUCUGCAGGAAUAACAAUGUCUGAGCCAUAUGCUAAAGAGAAUGGUCUCCCCAAUUGCCGAUCUGGGAGUGGUUCGGUAUGCCCACAAAACGUGUGGUAACUCAUU
This 486-nucleotide unclassified non-coding RNA is filed under the name Hevea brasiliensis (rubber tree). Lineage: Eukaryota; Viridiplantae; Streptophyta; Magnoliopsida; Malpighiales; Euphorbiaceae. The record is from RNAcentral.